RNAcentral lists this ribosomal RNA (249 nucleotides) under uncultured Pseudomonas sp. RNAcentral describes it as "partial 16S ribosomal RNA". It matches the Rfam family "Bacterial small subunit ribosomal RNA", at positions 1132 to 1382 of the family's 1533-position model. Lineage: Bacteria; Pseudomonadati; Pseudomonadota; Gammaproteobacteria; Pseudomonadales; Pseudomonadaceae. The record is from RNAcentral.
UGGGCACUCUAAGGAGACUGCCGGUGACAAACCGGAGGAAGGUGGGGAUGACGUCAAGUCAUCAUGGCCCUUACGGCCUGGGCUACACACGUGCUACAAUGGUCGGUACAAAGGGUUGCCAGCGCGAGGUGGAGCUAAUCCCAUAAAACCGAUCGUAGUCCGGAUCGCAGUCUGCAACUCGACUGCGUGAAGUCGGAAUCGCUAGUAAUCGUGAAUCAGAAUGUCACGGUGAAUACGUUCCCGGGCCUU